This 253-nucleotide ribosomal RNA is filed under the name uncultured bacterium. Its description in RNAcentral is "partial 16S ribosomal RNA". It matches the Rfam family "Bacterial small subunit ribosomal RNA", at positions 524 to 776 of the family's 1533-position model. The record is from RNAcentral.
UACGGGGGGGGCUAGCGUUGUUCGGAAUUACUGGGCGUAAAGGGCGCGUAGGCGGUCUGCUAAGUUGGAUGUGAAAACUCUGGGCUUAACCCAGAGCCUGCAUUCAAUACUGACAGGCUAAAGUUCUGGAGGGGAUAGCGGAAUUCCUGGUGUAGCGGUGAAAUGCGCAGAUAUCAGGAAGAACACCAAUGGCGAAAGCAGCUCUCUGGGACGGUACUGACGCUGAGACGCGAAAGCGUGGGGAGCAAACAGG